Molecule: long non-coding RNA, 883 nt
Filed under: Microcebus murinus (gray mouse lemur)
Lineage: Eukaryota; Metazoa; Chordata; Mammalia; Primates; Cheirogaleidae
Description: lncRNA (ENSMICG00000048316.1)
Source: RNAcentral
AGGGGCUGAGAAGCAGGGUUGGGUUCAAUUGCUUAUACUAAACUCUCACUCUCUCCUCUUUGAGUCAGAAGAGGUGAAUCCACCCACAAGCCAUGAAUAAACAAGGGCCAAGGGCCAGUCUUAAAUGCUGUCCAGUGUCUGGGCAGUAAUAAUUGGUCAGUACAGGGAAAAUGUAAUCAAACCCUCCCUCCAGAGAGGUUUUUCUUUAUUUUGACAAAGUGGGAAAAAGCUAAUGGGACAAGACAUGCCUUCAUAUUUUAUUAUAGAAUGAGAUGGGCUUACUGUUUGGAGGCUUUAACUGAGGUUUCUUUCUUUCUUUUUUUUUUUUUACUCCUUAUUAGAAUUCUUCUUGUUUGGAUUUAAAUGUCUAUUCUCAAGAUAACAGCAGCACCGUCACCAAAAACCUUGAAAUUAGCAUUAGAAGAUGCUGCCAUCUGACAUUCUUAGGCUGCCUGCUUUCCAUUCUGUUUGUAAGCAGUGGAAGAACAAAACAGAACAGAAAAAAACCAACAAACAAAAUCCAAAUGCCAAUGGUUCUUGCUUAAUGUCUGCCAUACGAAAUCGGCCACCUGCAAUGGGAUGAGUUCCGUAGCUAUAACUCUGGCUGGGUGAGUUCUGAAUCUAGUGCAGCUCUACAUUUGCUGACUGGACAGAUUUUAUUACCAAUAAAAUGAACAUAUAAUGCUCAUAAGCCUCAUGAGCAAGUUCAUUUUUCAUGAAUUCAACACAUUAAUUAAUUCAACCCGUAUUUAUGAAGCAUCUUCUACUGGUCUUAGGGGCAUAGUGAAUAAAAUAAAAUAGAUGUGACCUCUGAUGGAGGUUUCUGUCUGAUAAGGUAGAGAGAAGAAAAGAGAGAACUACAACGCAGGUGGGUGGGUGCAUA